AAAAUAAUCAUUAUAUUUUACAAAAAAAAAUAAUUUAUAAAUUUAAAAUAAGUUAUGAAUAGUAUUUAAAACCAAAUUACUACCAAAAUUAAAAUCAAACUAAAAGAAAAAAAAUUAAAGAACAUAUUAUCAGAUCAGAUCAAAACACAUGAAGGUAAUAGAAACACCAAAUCGAAAUCAAAACCAAAAACAAAAUUAAUAAAGCCAAUUCAACAGAAUAAUUGAAAUCAAAUCAAAACACAUGAAGGUAAGAGAAACAACCCAAAUCAGAAAUUAAAUGCACAAAUAUCUGCUCCAUAUCAGAACACCCAGACCCAGAUCAGAACACAUCCACUACCGAACACAAAUCUCUUCUCCAGAUCGAAAAUUAAAGGCACAUCGAUCCACUACCGAACGCAUCCACCCAGAUCGAAAAACAUCCACACUCAGAUCGAAAAUUAAAGGCACAAAUCUCUGCUCCAGAUCAGAAUAAAUCUCUGCUCCAUUUUGUUUGAUUCCAUUCUUACCGAACACAUUACACAUCCAUUACCGACGCCAGACAUCAUCACUAAAUCCAUCUUAUUACAACCAAAUCCAGUAAAAUAUAGAGAACUUAGAAAAAGAAAUAAAUGGUUUGAGAAACAAACAAACACAUCCACCUGAUAUUUUUGGUGCUUCUUUUUUGAUGUAUGUCAUUGAUGUUUUGUUCAAUUGAAGAAGAAAAAGAAGCAUUCGGUGGAGGCAGAAAUGAUUUUUCUUAAUGCAUUCAGUGGCGACAGAAAUGAUUUUUGUUGAUGUAUUUUGUUGCCAGAUUUUUCCAUUAUUUUUUUUCUCUUUCUUACUCAAAAAUC
This 830-nucleotide long non-coding RNA is filed under the name Panax ginseng (ginseng). RNAcentral's name for it is "long non-coding RNA (PGIN_LNC003120)". Lineage: Eukaryota; Viridiplantae; Streptophyta; Magnoliopsida; Apiales; Araliaceae. The record is from RNAcentral.